Calypte anna (Anna's hummingbird) is the source of this 128-nucleotide long non-coding RNA. RefSeq lists it as uncharacterized. The record is from RefSeq and is a predicted model, not a curated record. The transcript is spliced from 4 exons. Lineage: Eukaryota; Metazoa; Chordata; Aves; Apodiformes; Trochilidae.
ACGGCCGCUUCGGGCUGGUAGAUUCAAGUCCCGACCGUUCGGAGUUUUGGGACCCCAUUCAGCGAUCCGGGAAAACAGCCGCUUCGGGCUUGUAGAUGCAAGGUUUGUGUCCUGACCGUUCGGACUUU